CUGGCAUGGAAAAGGAAACCCUAGGAUGCCAGGAGAAGCAGUAGCUAACAAGUAGCAGUCACUGCCUUGCUUUUUAUAAUUCUGCUGUCAUAGGAUGCAAGAACUAAGGGUUCGGCUUGUGCUUGGCUGGGAGAUCUAAGCCUGCUUUUAGAAAUCCAUACUCGGCUCUUUUUGGACUGAUAAAGCCUCUUUGAAGCUCAUGCACACACACACACACACACACACACACACAAAAGUGUUUACAGAACCUGGCUUGUCUAAUUUGCCAGCAUAAAGAGAGGCAGAGCUCAGGCUGAUGUCACUUUUCACAUCCAGAUAAGAGAAGCGUGCCAGGAUGGCUAUUUUGCUCUGCAUUUGCAGGCACGGUGGUCCCUUAGGGAGGGUUCCUGGGUGAAAGUGAGAUACUAUAUACAAAAGUAAACUGCAGGAUCAUUGAUUAGAUUGGCUAAUUUUAAUUAGAGCUGUGUAGGAAGCUGGUUCAAGCAGCGUUUUAAUGACUUAAUGGCAUUUGUGUAGGCUCAUCCAAGCACAAGUCAGCAGCCACAGCCAUGUAACACUCUGAUACCGGUAGCACAAAGCCUGAUGUUGUGGUUCAUUGGUCUCAGCGUGAAGUCUUGUUGUUCCAGCAUGGAACUUUUGGUCAGAAAUACAGCAGAAAACUAUAACUCCAGUGUGCUGAUUUCCCCAGUGAUUAUCACAGGAACAUGGAGGCAGAAAGCAUGGGCUUGAGGCCCUGAACACCUGAUUUGACUUUCAUGUCCAUAUGUCUGUCACAGGUCCACUCAUUCUGGUUCUGUGGAGAGAAGAACAUGGUCCUUCUCACUGGAGAGGGCUGUUUUCUUCUUUGUUUUUCUUUGUUUGUUUGUUAAGAAUACAGCAUUAUUUCAUGCAGCAGGAGAAAAAGGAAAACAAAAAUAAGCUAAACAAAAAGCUUUCACAACCCUCAUUCCCAAAUCUGUGCGUCAUAGUGUGCCAGGAAAAGAGAUUUCUGGCCUUUCUUCAUUUCUUUCUUUUUUUUUUCCUUUUCUUUUUUUCUUCCCUUUUCUGCGCUACUACUAACUGCUUUUCCCUGUCUCUCACUGGACAGCUGGAGGGGAUCCAGGUGGCUGCUGUUCUUAUGGCUGCACACUGAAUUCAGUGGGGGAAGGCUUGCAAAUGGCUUUCCGAGUAGCCAAGUACAACGGUGGCAAGGGGCAGUCUGCAUGCUGGGAGCAGAAGACAUUCCCUGCUCUGAAAUGGCAGGGGCAAUGGCAGUGUGGGAAUUCAGGGCUUCCUGUCUCUGUGUUCUUCCAUUAUCCACCCCAGAACCUUCUGUCCCUUUUUUACUGCUCCACCUCCUUCCAAGAGCCAAUGCGUUCAGAUGGGCACUGCCACACAAAGCCCCGGAUGCCUCCACACAGCAGUCUCUCUGUUGGAUUCAUUUGGUGCCCGCUCUAAUUAAUUCCCUUUGAACCGGAGUCUGAAGGUAAUUGCCAGUCCAGAUACUCUCGGCUGACUCUAAUGAAUACGCAGGACUGGAAUAGAAGGAUGUAAGAGCUCUGCUGUGCCAGACCAAGAUGCCACUGAUGCUCCAGAGUCAACAAGCAGAUCCACAGGACUCUUAAGAACUCUUCCAAAAUGAAUUACAGUCUGUUGUCAUCUCUUCUCUGCAGCAGAUGUCUGGAGCAGCUUACUGGGGACUGACACUCAUGUAGUGGUCUUUCCCUUGCUUCUAAGCCAUUCCUGACUCUUCUGAUGGUCUUUUAGUGUGUUUCUUCUCAGUUAUACCACUUUCAGUAUUCAGAAGGGUCUGAUGGGUAUCAUUAGGAAAGACAGAAAUAGGUUAAUAUCUUGAGCUAAAGGUGAGCCUAGCUUGAAAGAAGAAACCAAAACCCGCAGUCACAAAAGGAUCAUGCCUCUCUUCAGGUUAUUCCGGAGCCAUAGGUUACUAAGCGUGGUACAGCAUAACACAUAAAGGAAGGGUCCAAACUAGUAUUCCUCUGACCUAGCUUUAGGCCAGUAGGAAAAGACUCAAGUGGGUAUGUUAGCUAUGCUGAUGCCUGAUAACUUGCAAUGCUUUUUACCAUUUAAUUGUGAGUUCAAUCCGUGUUAUAAUGACCACCACACUUGUCCAACAGAUUUGGUUGACAUUU
RNAcentral lists this long non-coding RNA (2132 nucleotides) under Coturnix japonica (Japanese quail). RNAcentral's name for it is "lncRNA (ENSCJPG00005013076.1)". The record is from RNAcentral. Lineage: Eukaryota; Metazoa; Chordata; Aves; Galliformes; Phasianidae.